AGAGUUUGAUCCUGGCUCAGAACGAACGCUGGCGGCGUGGAUUAGGCAUGCAAGUCGAACGAGAAAGAGGGAGCAAUCUCUCGAGUAAAGUGGCGAACGGGUGAGUAACAGGUGGGUAACGUGCCCCGAAGUGGGGGAUAACCCGGGGAAACUCGGGUUAAUACCGCAUGUGGCGCUUUGGACUUCGGUCCGAAUCGUUAAAGGUGCAAAUCGCUUCGGGAUCGGCCCGCCCCUGAUUAGCUAGUUGGUGAGGUAACGGCUCACCAAGGCUACGAUCAGUAGCUGGUCUGAGAGGAUGGUCAGCCACACUGGGACUGAGAUACGGCCCAGACUCCUACGGGGGGCAGCAGUCUAGAGGCUUCGGCAAUGGGGGAAACCCUGACCGAGCGACGCCGCGUGUGGGAUGAAGGCGUUUACGUCGUAAACCACUGUUGGGAGGGAAGAAUGCCCGGAUGGCGAAUCCGGGAGUGACGGUACCUCCGUAGAAAGCCCCGGCUAACUCCGUGCCAGCAGCCGCGGUAAUACGGGGGGGGCAAGCGUUGUUCGGAUUUACUGGGCGUAAAGGGAGCGUAGGCUGUCGGUUAAGUCCGGUGUGAAAUCUUCACCGCUCAACGGGAAGUUGUCACCGGAUACUGGCCGGCUAGAGUGAGGUAGAGGCAAGCGGAAUUCCUGGUGUAGCGGUGGAAUGUGUAGAUAUCAGGAAGAACAUCUGUGGCGAAGGCGGCUUGCUGGGCCUUUACUGACGCUGAGGCUCGAAAGCGUGGGGAGCAAACGGGAUUAGAUACCCCGGUAGUCCACGCUGUAAACGGUGCGCACUGGGUGUGGAGGGUAUCGACCCCCUCUGUGCCGAAGCUAACGCGUUAAGUGCGCCGCCUGGGGAGUACGGCCGCAAGGUUGAAACUCAAAGGAAUUGACGGGGGCCCGCACAAGCGGUGGAGGAUGUGGUUUAAUUCGACGCAACGCGAAGAACCUUACCUGGGCUUGAACCGCCAAUUAAUCUUUUGGAAACAAGAGGUCCCCGCAAGGGGGAAUUGGUAGAGGUGCUGCAUGGCUGUCGUCAGCUCGCGUCGUGAGAUGUUGGGUUAAGUCCCGCAACGAGCGCAACCCCUGUUGCUAGUUACCAGCGCGUCAUGGCGGGGACUCUAGCAAGACCGCCGGUGGUAAACCGGAGGAAGGUGGGGAUGACGUCAAGUCCUCAUGGCCCUUACGUCCAGGGCUACACACGUCCUACAAUGGCCGGAACAACGGGCUGCAAGCCUGCGAAGGCAAGCCAAUCCCUUAAAUCCGGUCUCAGUUCAGAUUGCAGUCUGCAACUCGACUGCAUGAAGCUGGAAUCGCUAGUAAUCGCGGAUCAGCAUGCCGCGGUGAAUACGUUCCCGGGCCUUGUACACACCGCCCGUCACACCACGAAAGAUGGUUGUCCCAGAAGUCGCUGUCGGAACCCGCAAGGGGCCAAGGCGCCGAAGGAAUGGUCGGCAAUUGGGGUGAAGUCGUAACAAGGUA
RNAcentral lists this ribosomal RNA (1503 nucleotides) under metagenome. RNAcentral's name for it is "bacterial SSU rRNA". It matches the Rfam family "Bacterial small subunit ribosomal RNA". The record is from RNAcentral.